UCUGGCGGCGAGUGGCGGACGGGUGAGUAAUGCAUAGGAAUCUGCCUUAAAGUGGGGGACAACCCGGGGAAACCCGGGCUAAUACCGCAUAAUACCUUCGGGUCAAAGUCUUCGGACGCUUUGAGAUGAGCCUGUGUUGGAUUAGCUUGUUGGUGAGGUAAAGGCUCACCAAGGCGAUGAUCCAUAGCUGGUCUGAGAGGACGAUCAGCCACACUGGGACUGAGACACGGCCCAGACUCC
RNAcentral lists this ribosomal RNA (240 nucleotides) under uncultured bacterium. RNAcentral describes it as "partial 16S ribosomal RNA". It matches the Rfam family "Bacterial small subunit ribosomal RNA", at positions 84 to 339 of the family's 1533-position model. The record is from RNAcentral.